RNAcentral lists this ribosomal RNA (432 nucleotides) under uncultured bacterium. RNAcentral describes it as "partial 16S ribosomal RNA". It matches the Rfam family "Bacterial small subunit ribosomal RNA", at positions 30 to 507 of the family's 1533-position model. The record is from RNAcentral.
CGAACGCUGGCGGCAGGCCUAACACAUGCAAGUCGAACGAACCUUUCGGGGUUAGUGGCGGACGGGUGAGUAACACGUGGGAACGUGCCUUUAGGUUCGGAAUAACUCAGGGAAACUUGUGCUAAUACCGAAUGUGCCCUUCGGGGGAAAGAUUUAUCGCCUUUAGAGCGGCCCGCGUCUGAUUAGCUAGUUGGUUGAGGUAAUGGCUCACCAAGGCGACGAUCAGUAGCUGGUCUGAGAGGAUGAUCAGCCACAUUGGGACUGAGACACGGCCCAAACUCCUACGGGAAGCAGCAGUGGGGAAUCUUGCGCAAUGGGCGAAAGCCUGACGCAGCCAUGCCGCGUGAAUGAUGAAGGUCUUAGGAUUGUAAAAUUCUUUCACCGGGGACGAUAAUGACGGUACCCGGAGAAGAAGCCCCGGCUAACUUCGUG